AGGAUUAACGCUGGCGGCGUGCCUGACAUAUGCAAGUCGAACGAGGCCGCAAGGCCGAGUGGCGGACGGGUGAGUAACACGUGACCAACCAACCUCGAAGUUGGGAAUAGCUCUGCGAAAGUAGGGGUAAUACCGAAUGUGGCCCAGGGCGGGCAUCCGCCUUGGUCUAAAGAUUCAUCGCUUCGAGACGGGGUCGCGGCCUAUUAGCUUGUUGGUGAGGUAACGGCUCACCAAGGCGAUGAUGGGUAGCUGGUCUGAGAGGACGACCAGCCACACUGGGACUGAGACACGGCCCAGACUCCUACGGGAGGCAGCAGUGAGGAAUCUUCCGCAAUGGGCGAAAGCCUGACGGAGCAACGCCGCGUGUGGGAUGAAGACUCUAGGGUUGUAAACCACUGUCGGAGGGGACGAUCGUGACGGUACCCUCCAAGAAAGCCCCGGCUAACUACGUGCCAGCAGCCGC
Molecule: ribosomal RNA, 463 nt
Filed under: uncultured bacterium
Lineage: Bacteria
Description: SSU rRNA
Rfam family: Bacterial small subunit ribosomal RNA
Source: RNAcentral